UUACGGCCAUAUCACGUUGAAACACCGAUUCCCGUACGAUCACCGAAGUUAAGCAACAUCGAUCCUGGUCAGUACCUAGAUGAGUAACCGCUUAGGAGGAUAAGGUG
RNAcentral lists this ribosomal RNA (107 nucleotides) under Acanthosepion pharaonis. Lineage: Eukaryota; Metazoa; Mollusca; Cephalopoda; Sepiida; Sepiidae. The record is from RNAcentral.